This 294-nucleotide long non-coding RNA is filed under the name Mus spicilegus (steppe mouse). RNAcentral's name for it is "lncRNA (ENSMSIG00000015668.1)". Lineage: Eukaryota; Metazoa; Chordata; Mammalia; Rodentia; Muridae. The record is from RNAcentral.
GAGGAUUCGAAUUCUGCAGAUCUAGUAUGUGAGAACCAAGAGCAGAAAAAUCUUUGCGUGAAUCUGUUUCCAGAACGCAGUACCCUGAACCCAGUUUCUCCAUAAACACUCAGGAUGUCACUUACAAGGUCAACAAUCCACUCUCUCCUGGAACAUCACAAGAUCGGUUCAUUAAAUUUGCUUGCUGUGUUGUUUUUUAAAUAUAAGAAUCACAAGGCACUGUAAACAAAAACCAGGUGGCAUCUGAAAGGUGAAAAUUCUGCUUCCUUUCUGGCAAACACUGCGCCUUCAAAC